GGGGGCGUCUGGGAUGGGUCUGGGGGCGGCUGGGGUGGGUUGGGGGCGGCUGGGAUGGGUCUGGGGGUAUCUCGGGAGGGUUUGGGAGCACCUCGGAUGGGUUGGGGGCGUCUGGGAUGGGUUGGGGGCGGCUGGGAUGGGUUGGGGGCGUCUGGGAUGGGUCUGGGGGCGGCUGGGGUGGCUCUGGGGGCGGCUGGGGUGGCUCUGGGGGCGGCUGGGGUGGGUUUGGGGUAUCUCGGGAGGGUUUGGUGGUACCUGGGAUGGGUUUGGGAGCACCUCGGAUGGGUUUGGUGGCACCUCGGGAGGGUUUGGGAGCACCUCGGAUGGGUUUGGUGGCACUUCGGGAGGGUUGGUGGUACCUGGGAUGGGGUUGGGGGUAUCUCAGGAGGGUUUGGUGGCACCUGGGAUGGGUUUGGUGGUACCUGGGGUGGGUUUGGUGGUACCUGGGAUGGGUUUGGAGGUACCUGGGGUGGGUUGGUGACACCUGGGAUGGGUUUGGUGACAUUGGGGACGCGGUUCGGGGGCGUUGGUGGCACGCGUUGGGGCCGACGUGGCCGCUGUGCCCAGGGCUGAAGCGGGGGCUGUGCCUGCGCAUCAACCACUUCCCCGAGGACCUGGAGUACGACCACGACAGCGCCGAGUACCUGCUGCUGUCACCUCAGUGUCACCUGUGUCACCUGUGUCACCUCCACUGUCACCUCAUCGUCACCUCAGUGUCACCACGACAGCGCCGAGUACCUGCUGCUGUCACCACGACAGCGCCGAGUACCUGCUGCUGUCACCUCAGUGUCACCUGUGUCACCUCAUCGUCACCUCAGUGUCACCUCAUCGUCACCUCAGUGUCACCACGACAGCGCCGAGUACCUGCUGCUGUCACCACGACAGCGCCGAGUACCUGCUGCGUGAGUAACCAUGGCAACGGGGACAUUGUCACCUCAGUGUCACCUGUGUCACCUCAGUGUCACCUCAGUGUCACCUCAGUGUCACCUCAGUGUCACCGCGACAGCGCCGAGUACCUGCUGCUGUCACCGCGACAGCGCCGAGUACCUGCUGCGUGAGUAACCGUGGCAACCGUGUCACCUGUGUCACCUGUGUCACCUGUGUCACCUCAGUGUCACCUCCACUGUCACCUCAGUGUCACCUGUGUCACCUCAUUGUCACCUCAGUGUCACCUCAUCGUCACCUCAGUGUCGCCAUGGCAAUGGUGUCCCUGUCACCACGGCGACCGUGCCUUUGUCCCGCGGCGCCGUGGGAACCAAACCCUGGCCUCGCGUUGCCAUGGCGACGCUCCCGGCAUCCUCCCCGUUUCCAUGGCGACGCUCCCGGCAUCCUCCCCGUUGCCAUGGAAACGCUCCCGGCAUCCUCCCGGCCCUGCCGUUGCCAUGGCGACGCUCCCGGCAUCCUCCCCGUUGCCAUGGCGACGCUCUGGUACCCAGCCUCGCGUUUCCAUGGCGACGCUCCCGGCAUCCUCCCCGUUUCCAUGGAAACGCUCCCAGCAUCCUCCCGGCCCUGCCGUCGCCAUGGGAACAUGCCCAGCAUCCUCCCCGUUGCCAUGGAANNNNNNNNNNNNNNNNNNNNNNNNNNNNNNNNNNNNNNNNNNNNNNNNNNNNNNNNNNNNNNNNNNNNNNNNNNNNNNNNNNNNNNNNNNNNNNNNNNNNAACGCUCCCGGCAUCGUCCCCGUUGCCAUGGAAACGCUCCCGGCAUCGUCCCCGUUGCCAUGGAAACGCUCCCGGCAUCGUCCCCGUUGCCAUGGAAACGCUCCCGGCAUCCUCCCCGUUGCCAUGGAAACGCUCCCGGCAUCCUCCCCGUUGCCAUGGAAACGCUCCCGGCAUCCUCCCCGUUGCCAUGGAAACGCUCCCGGCAUCCUCCCCGUUGCCAUGGAAACGCUCCCGGCAUCCUCCCGGCCCUGCCAUUGCCAUGGAAACGCUCCCAGCAUCCUCCCCGUUGCCAUGGCGACGCUCUGGUAUCCAGCCAUGCGUUUCCAUGGCAACCACGCCCAGCUCCCUGAUUGGCCCUCAGCCCCCGGGCUCUGAUUGGCCGGAGACCACAGAUCCCCAU
RNAcentral lists this long non-coding RNA (2058 nucleotides) under Chloebia gouldiae (Gouldian finch). RNAcentral describes it as "Erythrura gouldiae (Gouldian finch) lncRNA (ENSEGOG00005010157.1)". The record is from RNAcentral. Lineage: Eukaryota; Metazoa; Chordata; Aves; Passeriformes; Passeridae.